Molecule: ribosomal RNA, 605 nt
Filed under: uncultured bacterium
Lineage: Bacteria
Description: bacterial SSU rRNA
Rfam family: Bacterial small subunit ribosomal RNA
Source: RNAcentral
AGUCGAGGGGCAGCAUCAUCAAAGCUUGCUUUGAUGGAUGGCGACCGGCGCACGGGUGAGUAACACGUAUCCAACCUGCCGACAACACUGGGAUAGCCUUUCGAAAGAAAGAUUAAUACCGGAUGGCAUAGUUUUCCCGCAUGGGAUAAUUAUUAAAGAAUUUCGGUUGUCGAUGGGGAUGCGUUCCAUUAGGCAGUUGGCGGGGUAACGGCCCACCAAACCUACGAUGGAUAGGGGUUCUGAGAGGAAGGUCCCCCACAUUGGAACUGAGACACGGUCCAAACUCCUACGGGAGGCAGCAGUGAGGAAUAUUGGUCAAUGGACGAGAGUCUGAACCAGCCAAGUAGCGUGAAGGAUGACUGCCCUAUGGGUUGUAAACUUCUUUUAUACGGGAAUAAAGUGAGCCACGUGUGGCUUUUUGUAUGUACCGUAUGAAUAAGGAUCGGCUAACUCCGUGCCAGCAGCCGCGGUAAUACGGAGGAUUCGAGCGUUAUCCGGAUUUAUUGGGUUUAAAGGGAGCGUAGGCGGGUUGUUAAGUCAGUUGUGAAAGUUUGCGGCUCAACCGUAAAAUUGCAGUUGAUACUGGCGACCUUGAGUGCAACGGA